AUGGAUCCAUCCUCUCUUUUCUAGUUUCUCUCUAGAGAUCUAAAAAUUGAAUCCACCAUACAUACAUACAUACAUACAUACGUCUUCUUUUAUUAAUCUUUAAAAAAAAGAAAAACCGAGGAAUCCGAGUGGUGUGUGUUUCUUUCGUUCUAAUGUAAUGACUCCUAGAUCUCUUUUGCUGCUUGUUGUUGUUGUUGUUGUUUGGCUUCAGGGGUUUGCACCACCAACAUAGAUGCGGAGCAGGGGAAGGUGACUGUCUCAGGCAUUGCGGAUGCGGCCACCAUCAUCAAGAAGCUCAACAAGGCUGGGAAACAUGCAGAGCUCUGGGGGAGCUCAAAAGGCGGCGGCGGCAGCCUCACCAACCAGCUCCAGAAGCUCGGCCUGGAAAACAAUGGAGGGAAGGGGCAGCAUAAAGAUAAUAAUAACGGCAACGGCAACGGCAACGGGAACGGAAAGGGGGGUCAGGGUCAGAAGGGGGGCGGGGGAGGGAAAGAGCAGAACCCUAAGGGGCUGGGGCUUCUGCAGCCGACACCGCAGCAGCUGCAGCAGCUGCAGCAGCAGAUGCAGAUGAAGGGCUUCAAGGAUCUGAAGCUUCCCCAGCUGAAGGACCUCAAGCUCCCCUUCCAGAAGGACCCCAAGACCGUCAAGUUCGCUGACGUCGACGAUGGCAGCGACUACGACGACGACGACGACGAUUAUGACGACUUUGACGACUUUGACGACGAUGAC
Molecule: long non-coding RNA, 729 nt
Filed under: Ananas comosus (pineapple)
Lineage: Eukaryota; Viridiplantae; Streptophyta; Magnoliopsida; Poales; Bromeliaceae
Description: long non-coding RNA (ACOM_LNC044245)
Source: RNAcentral